GAUGAACGCUGGCGGCGUGCCUAAUACAUGCAAGUCGAGCGAACAGACGAGGAGCUUGCUCCUCUGACGUUAGCGGCGGACGGGUGAGUAACACGUGGAUAACCUACCUAUAAGACUGGGAUAACUUCGGGACACCGGAGCUAAUACCGGAUAAUAUAUUGAACCGCAUGGUUCAAUAGUGAAAGACGGUGUUGCUGUCACUUAUAGAUGGAUCCGCGCCGCAUUAGCUAGUUGGUAAGGUAACGGCUUACCAAGGCAACGAUGCGUAGCCGACCUGAGAGGGUGAUCGGCCACACUGGAACUGAGACACGGUCCAGACUCCUACGGGAGGCAGCAGUAGGGAAUCUUCCGCAAUGGGCGAAAGCCUGACGGAGCAACGCCGCGUGAGUGAUGAAGGUCUUCGGAUCGUAAAACUCUGUUAUUAGGGAAGAACAAAUGUGUAAGUAACUAUGCACGUCUUGACGGUACCUAAUCAGAAAGCCACGGCUAACUACGUG
RNAcentral lists this ribosomal RNA (497 nucleotides) under uncultured bacterium. RNAcentral's name for it is "partial 16S ribosomal RNA". It matches the Rfam family "Bacterial small subunit ribosomal RNA", at positions 28 to 507 of the family's 1533-position model. The record is from RNAcentral.